GACGUAGGGCGCGAGCGUUGUCCGGAUUUAUUGGGCGUAAAGAGCUCGUAGGCGGCUUGUCGCGUCGACUGUGAAAACUCGGGGCUCAACUCCGAGCUUGCAGUCGAUACGGGCAGGCUAGAGUUCGGUAGGGGAGACUGGAAUUCCUGGUGUAGCGGUGAAAUGCGCAGAUAUCAGGAGGAACACCGGUGGCGAAGGCGGCCAACUGGACAGAUACUGACGCUGAGACUCGAAAGCGUGGGGAGCAAACAGG
This 253-nucleotide ribosomal RNA is filed under the name uncultured bacterium. RNAcentral describes it as "partial 16S ribosomal RNA". It matches the Rfam family "Bacterial small subunit ribosomal RNA", at positions 524 to 776 of the family's 1533-position model. The record is from RNAcentral.